Long non-coding RNA from Helianthus annuus (common sunflower), 892 nucleotides. RefSeq lists it as uncharacterized. The record is from RefSeq and is a predicted model, not a curated record. NCBI's taxonomy places the organism in Eukaryota, Viridiplantae, Streptophyta, Magnoliopsida, Asterales, Asteraceae. The transcript is spliced from 3 exons.
CAUACCCCAGCCCCACACCCCAUUGUUAUCUUCUACAAAACUUAGGUGGUCGGAGAUUGUAGGUGUACCGAUCAAUGGGAAGUUUGUUAAGGCCAUCAGAAGAAGGUUAAGAAGAAUAAAGAAUAAAGAUGUACCAUUGCACUGUGACUGAAUAUACCGUGUGGAUUGUUCACUGGGGAAGUUUGCUGUCAUCUUCUCCGACGAACUUUUCAUUUCCGGUGGAUGAUUAGAAGCUUUAUUGUACAUCGAAUUCAAUGAAAUCAAGAAGAUGAUUAGGUGAUUAGCAGCUAUAUUGAAUGAAAGAAUUGAAUUCUCUUUAAAAGUUUUCAUUCUCCAAUCCAUUGACUGCAAGAUGUUUAUCUCAUGACCCCAGUGAUCGACCACCGUGAAUUUAGGUGGCAAAAUGGGUAGCGUAAAGUGACAACGUCGCGAAGGCGUCAUGGACUUGAUCAAGAUGUAAGUCUUGACCGGAAUUAGGAGCCUCGAGAGCUUGAUUUGUGCUCAAAUAAGCUCAUCUAAAGUACUCCUCAAGAUCUUUGUGUUUCUAAUAAGCUGAGAAUCUUAAUUCUAUAGAAGAUUUUCUUAUUUGGAUCGAUUCUGGAUUAUGUAGUUCGUCGAAAACUGAGUCAGUGUAUGGUGUACGUUUGAUUCAGAAAUGGAUGGAGAACAAAGCACGUUCUAGCUCUUGCGAUUCUUGAUGUUGUCGUCAGAAACGGAGUCGGUGUAUGGUGUGGGUCGGUGGAUGUAAUGUUUCGUACCUUUGUACUUUCCAAUUUUAGGAACUUUUAAUCAUAUUCCAUUUCAAUCAUUGUAAUCCGAGACUUUGAUCAUAAUGGAAAUUCAUAUUAUAUAACUAUCAUAUUAAAUUCAUAUUUAUUUGUUAUGUAAUCAA